GACCUUGAAAUACCACCCUUUAAUGUUUGAUGUUCUAACGUGGACCCGUAAUCCGGGUUGCGGACAGUGUCUGGUGGGUAGUUUGACUGGGGCGGUCUCCUCCUAAAGAGUAACGGAGGAGCACGAAGGUUGGCUAAUCCUGGUCGGACAUCAGGAGGUUAGUGCAAUGGCAUAAGCCAGCUUGACUGCGAGCGUGACGGCGCGAGCAGGUGCGAAAGCAGGUCAUAGUGAUCCGGUGGUUCUGAAUGGAAGGGCCAUCGCUCAACGGAUAAAAGGUACUCCGGGGAUAACAGGCUGAUACCGCCCAAGAGUUCAUAUCGACGGCGGUGUUUGGCACCUCGAUGUCGGCUCAUCACAUCCUGGGGCUGAAGUAGGUCCCAAGGGUAUGGCUGUUCGCCAUUUAAAGUGGUACGCGAGCUGGGUUUAGAACGUCGUGAGACAGUUCGGUCCCUAUCUGCCGUGGGCGCUGGAGAACUGAGGGGGGCUGCUCCUAGUACGAGAGGACCGGAGUGGACGCAUCACUGGUGUUCGGGUUGUCAUGCCAAUGGCACUGCCCGGUAGCUAAAUGCGGAAGAGAUAAGUGCUGAAAGCAUCUAAGCACGAAACUUGCCCCGAGAUGAGUUCUCCCUGAGACUUAGAGUCUCCUGAAGGAACGUUGAAGACGACGACGUUGAUAGGCCGGGUGUGUAAGCGCAGCGAUGCGUUGAGCUAACCGGUACUAAUGAACCGUGAGGCUUAACCUUAC
RNAcentral lists this ribosomal RNA (745 nucleotides) under Salmonella enterica. RNAcentral's name for it is "partial 23S ribosomal RNA". It matches the Rfam family "Bacterial large subunit ribosomal RNA", at positions 2188 to 2925 of the family's 2925-position model. The record is from RNAcentral. Lineage: Bacteria; Pseudomonadati; Pseudomonadota; Gammaproteobacteria; Enterobacterales; Enterobacteriaceae.